GGUGUAGCAUAGUGGUUUGUGUUGGACUAGGACUCUGGAGACCAGGGUUCAAAUCCUGGCUCAGCCA
Molecule: non-coding RNA, 67 nt
Organism: Phrynosoma platyrhinos (Desert horned lizard)
Lineage: Eukaryota; Metazoa; Chordata; Lepidosauria; Squamata; Phrynosomatidae
Source: the annotation of a GenBank genome assembly